CUCGGGGUCGUCCGGAAGGGUGCACUCCACGAUGAAGUCGGCGAGUAUCUGAGCUUUGAUAGCCGGCCUGGGCCGAUAUUCGAGGUCGAAUUCCCCGAGCUCGACCGCCCAUUUGGCGAUCCUCCCCGCACGAUCCGACCUCUGCAAUAUUUGCUUCAUAGGCUGGUCGGUCAGUAUAGCUAUCGUGUGGGCUUGGAAGUAAGGCCUGAGUCUCCGAACCGAGAUGAUGAGAGCGAAG
RNAcentral lists this long non-coding RNA (238 nucleotides) under Phoenix dactylifera (date palm). Its description in RNAcentral is "long non-coding RNA (PDAC_LNC019112)". Lineage: Eukaryota; Viridiplantae; Streptophyta; Magnoliopsida; Arecales; Arecaceae. The record is from RNAcentral.